GAAAAAUAAUUUCGUGUUGGGCUAAAAUAUCAGCAGGCCCAUUUCGGUUCGGACAUUUUACGUAGCCCACAUCGUGCAGGUGUGCCCCAACCCCGUCGGGUUUGGACCUGCACCCUUUGCGCGCGAGGCAAGAUUCCAAGCUUAGUCAUUCAAUCACUCAUUAAGAGGAUUCCUAUAUAUAAACACAUCUCACACUUGGUAUUUAACCAAUGUGGGAUCUAAG
RNAcentral lists this long non-coding RNA (223 nucleotides) under Gossypium barbadense (sea-island cotton). RNAcentral's name for it is "long non-coding RNA (GBAR_LNC000734)". The record is from RNAcentral. Lineage: Eukaryota; Viridiplantae; Streptophyta; Magnoliopsida; Malvales; Malvaceae.